Molecule: signal recognition particle RNA, 266 nt
Filed under: Rubeoparvulum massiliense
Lineage: Bacteria; Bacillati; Bacillota; Bacilli; Caryophanales; Bacillaceae
Description: Bacterial large signal recognition particle RNA
Rfam family: Bacterial large signal recognition particle RNA
About the family: The signal recognition particle (SRP) is a universally conserved ribonucleoprotein involved in the co-translational targeting of proteins to membranes.
Source: RNAcentral
CCGUGCUAGACGGGGAGGUAGCGGUGCCCUGUACCCGCAAUCCGCUAUAGCGGGGUUGAAUUCCUGCUUGAGGUAUAUCUUAUGCGAGGUCUGGCUUGUGUAAGUAGUGUUGACAAUUGGGUCCUACGCAACGAGAACCCAUGAACCCGGUCAGGUCCGGAAGGAAGCAGCCGUAAGUGGACCCUCUCGUGUGCCGUAGGGUAGCCUGGUUCGAGCUAACUGCAUAGGUAACGCUCGGGUGUGGUAUAUCGAUGGCAGGUGCACGG